CGGCAACAUAAAGUGAUGGCUCAUCACAACAGCAGUCUUACCUUCAAUUUGCAAGCUUUUGUGCACAUGAGCUCUCUGUGAGCUAAGUUCAGGACUUUGAGGAAAGUAACCCAGUGACACAUAAAGCAUGAUAGGCUUAGGACGGUUCCAUCUAAUUUCUAAUUUGCAUGACCACGACUCUCCCUCAUCCAAAAAUGGGACCGAAAUCAAUCCAAAAGAGGGCUGGAUUUUUUUGAAUGUUCUCUGAAUUAGCUAGAUCUUCACAUUCUCGUCCAG
Molecule: unclassified non-coding RNA, 276 nt
Filed under: Hevea brasiliensis (rubber tree)
Lineage: Eukaryota; Viridiplantae; Streptophyta; Magnoliopsida; Malpighiales; Euphorbiaceae
Source: RNAcentral